CCUACGGGUGGCAGCAGUGAGGAAUAUUGGUCAAUGGACGAGAGUCUGAACCAGCCAAGUAGCGUGAAGGAUGACUGCCCUAUGGGUUGUAAACUUCUUUUAUAUGGGAAUAAAAUGUUCCACGUGUGGGAUGUUGUAUGUACCAUAUGAAUAAGCAUCGGCUAACUCCGUGCCAGCAGCCGCGGUAAUACGGAGGAUCCGAGCGUUAUCCGGAUUUAUUGGGUUUAAAGGGAGCGUAGGGGGGUUGUUAAGUCAGUUGUGAAAGUUUGCGGCUCAACCGUAAAAUUGCAGUUGAAACUGGCAGUCUGGAGUACAGGAGAGGUGGGCGGAAUGCGUGGUGUAGCGGUGAAAUGCUUAGAUAUCGCGAAGAACUCCGAUUGCGAAGGCAGCGCACUGGACUCAAACUGACACUGAGGCACGAAAGUGUGGGUAUCAAACAGGAUUAGAUACCCCGGUAGUC
RNAcentral lists this ribosomal RNA (460 nucleotides) under uncultured bacterium. RNAcentral describes it as "partial 16S ribosomal RNA". It matches the Rfam family "Bacterial small subunit ribosomal RNA", at positions 338 to 795 of the family's 1533-position model. The record is from RNAcentral.